CGUGUAGGCGGUUUUUAAGUCUGAUGUGAAAGCCCCGGGCUCAACCUGGGAAGUGCAUUGGAAACUGGGAGACUUGAGUACGGGAGAGGGCAGUGGAAUUCCCAGUGUAGGAGUGAAAUCCGUAGAUAUUGGGAGGAACACCGGUGGCGAAGGCGGCUGCCUGGACCGAUACUGACGCUGAGACGCGAAAGCGUGGGGAGCAAACAGGAUUAGAUACCCUGGUAGUCCACGCCGUAAACGAUGAGUACUAGGUGUCGCGGGUAUUGACCCCUGCGGUGCCGCAGCUAACGCAUUAAGUACUCCGCCUGGGAAGUACGGCCGCAAGGCUAAA
Molecule: ribosomal RNA, 331 nt
Filed under: uncultured bacterium
Lineage: Bacteria
Description: bacterial SSU rRNA
Rfam family: Bacterial small subunit ribosomal RNA
Source: RNAcentral